Long non-coding RNA from Thalassophryne amazonica, 136 nucleotides. RefSeq lists it as uncharacterized. Lineage: Eukaryota; Metazoa; Chordata; Actinopteri; Batrachoidiformes; Batrachoididae. The transcript is spliced from 3 exons. The record is from RefSeq and is a predicted model, not a curated record.
UGCAGCCAGUGACUCAAAACAUCACACGUUCUCAAGAAAUAUUGCUUUCUCAGAAUGCAAAAGAUGGAGAACCGCAUCCUACUGUUUCUGGGUCAGACUCAAAACUUCUCAAUCGGCCUUCAUAUAAGGAAUUAUA